Molecule: ribosomal RNA, 198 nt
Filed under: uncultured bacterium
Lineage: Bacteria
Description: partial 16S ribosomal RNA
Rfam family: Bacterial small subunit ribosomal RNA
Source: RNAcentral
ACGCUCGACACCUACGGGAGACAGCAGUGGGGAAUAUUGCACAAUGGGGGAAACCCUGAUGCAGCGACGCCGCGUGGAGGAAGAAGGUCUUCGGAUUGUAAACUCCUGUUGUUGGGGAAAAAGAGGAUGGUACCCAACAAGGAAGUGACGGCUAACUACGUGCCAGGAGCCGCGGUAAUCUGAGCGGGCUGGCAAGGC